GGAUGUAAAAGUCGUAACAAGGUCUCCGUAGGUGAACCUGCGGAGGGAUCAUUACAGAGUUCAUGCCCUACCGGGUAGAUCUCCCACCCUAUGUUAUUAUUACUUUGUUGCUUUGGCGGGCCGUUAGGCUCCGGCCCGACUACCGGCCCCGGCUGGUAAGUGCCCGCCAGAGGACCCAAAACCCUGAAUAUUAGUGUCGUCUGAGUACUAUAUAAUAGUUAAAACUUUCAACAACGGAUCUCUUGGUUCUG
Molecule: unclassified non-coding RNA, 251 nt
Filed under: plant metagenome
Description: partial contains small subunit ribosomal RNA, internal transcribed spacer 1, and 5.8S ribosomal RNA
Rfam family: Eukaryotic small subunit ribosomal RNA (bases 1-54)
Source: RNAcentral